AUGCAUCAUGCUGAUCUAGGAAAUAACCCAGAAUCUUUGUUCCUCCUUUACGUUUUGGGGGUUUCCAGCCGAUGGUCAUGUUGGCCUUCCCACAGCUCAGCAGAACAAACCCACGUGGCGCUGAUGGGCGAGCUGUGCAGCAAAGGGAGAGACCAAAGGCAGCGCUGUUCAGUGCAGGUUUGGAAAGGAAUAGCACUGAGGUGGGCUCAGCGAACGAACAGCACAGCAGUGUGCUGCAUUGGUGUAUUUAGCAAUGAGGAGAAUCUGGACGAACUGCAUUCAUCUGUACUGCAGCCUCACACUGUACUGAAGGAACAAAUUUGCCUGGUUUUAGUACACACCUGUCACUCUCUUGCUCUUGCUGGGGUCGUACGUUAUAACUGGAUCACUGGUUUUUGAAGGAUGACUGAUCCCCGCUUUAUUGACAGCCUUCACUCGGAACUGGUAUGCCUGUCCUUCAGCAAGGCCCAGCACGGGGUAUCUGCAGGUUUUCACAGGCUUUUCGUUGCAUGGGACCCAGUUCUCUGACCCAGCAGUACACCUGAAAUGGAAUGCAUCCCAAGGAGUUGCUUUGUGGUUUUCCCACAGCAUAAUCAUGAGGUUUCUUUCUCUACCAGAUAAAAGUACAGACCUCUCAAUAAAAUAUCCAAGGAUUGGGCUUCCUCCAUUAUCACUGGGUGCUAUCCAAGAAAGAAUCAAGCAAUCUUUAUUUAUGUCAUGGCAUUUCACAUUGAGAGGGGAUCCAGGUGCACCGGCUGAUUCUGCUGCAGCAUCUGCAGGAACACCAAGCUAUUGUGGUUAAGACUUUUUUCUUCUCUGUACCAAAACUUUGAUUCAACAACUUAAUUUUAAGUGUGUCCCAGUAAUACAGGUCAUAUUUUCUACAUCUUAAUCACAACUGAAUGUAAGAUUUGGACAUUCCGUUAAUUGUAACAAAAAAGAAAGCACAAAAUUGGGACACACUUUCUUGAGAAUGAGGCAGUGAAUUCCUAUAUGCCAAAGUAUUAGGAGAGAAGCUUUUGUUCUAAGUAGGACAGCAUCCUAUUAUUACCCCGAACAAACACAUAAGUGGUUUGCUCUUUGCAUCCACCCAGUGAGGGGACGCGGAUUGUGUAGAAUCCCUCAUCUUCUUUGUAAGCACACGGCACUCUCAGAGAAGCUUCCUGGUCUUGAUACUUCAGUUCCUGACGUUCUGAGUUCUGCAGCAACUCACCUGUAAAGCAUGAAAAAGGUAAAGGAGAUCCAGCUGAACUGGUGGAGUGAGGAUUGAUGUAUUUCCAAAUGAAAAAAUAAAAUAAAAUAAAAUACAACCAACAAACUCACCACCAAAAACAAGAGAAACAAAACCAAAACAGCAAGAUAAGGGAUCUGCAAGGCACUCCUGAUAAUAUACUUCACAGUUAUACUCAUGGACUCCGAUCCUAUUUUAUUGCCAUCCCUGUGUUCUCUUUGCACACAAACAACAGAGCAAAAAGAACGGCCGCUGUCCUGAAGAGCAAUCUGAGCAAUAAAGAGUAAUGAAAUGAAUGAGUCAAAAGUACUCUUCACAGCAGGGAACAGGAUGCUCUGAAUUCUGCCAGAUAUUUUAGCAGUCCUACCUGAGGAUGCAAAUAAAUUAUAACAUCUCUAUCUUGAGAAGAGCUGAGAGCAGCUCACGAAUCCCCAGUUCUAAUCCUCUCCUAUAAGCAUUAGAUUACAGCUAUGAAAUCAAAUGGGAUAUCAUAUAUGUAUAUGUAUUCUGUGUGUAUAAGCGUAGCUAUUGCAUACAGACCAUCUCUGAGCCAGGUAAUGUUUCGUUGGUGUUCAAGUAAAUCAGAAGUGAAGUAACAGGAGAGGGUGAAAGGCUCCUUUUCUCUUGAAAAUAGUGGUUUCAGUGAGGAGGCAAAAUCUGCCUCUCUGGCAAUAAGGGAUCCUAUGAAAUGAAAAUGAAAUGCAGCAUGAGAGAGACUUCCCAGGGACUUCUAGCUUGUAGCANACCACCA
Molecule: long non-coding RNA, 1982 nt
Organism: Pavo cristatus (Indian peafowl)
Lineage: Eukaryota; Metazoa; Chordata; Aves; Galliformes; Phasianidae
Source: Ensembl